Long non-coding RNA from Hemicordylus capensis (graceful crag lizard), 367 nucleotides. RefSeq lists it as uncharacterized. The transcript is spliced from 3 exons. The record is from RefSeq and is a predicted model, not a curated record. Lineage: Eukaryota; Metazoa; Chordata; Lepidosauria; Squamata; Cordylidae.
UGCAAGCUGUGGCUGACUGCCCUGAAGAACCCUGUAAAAGUUGAUCGUGGGUCUCUCCUGUUCACUGCCGAGGCGUCACCAAAUGCACCACAGGGAGAAGACAGAGGAACUGUGCUGUUGCUGGUGGGAGAAGCAAGCCACAGCUAGCUGAAAAGAGUCUAGGAACAUUUUCCAAAUUUCCACCAUGGUAUCGCACCUCGGAGACAAACAUCAUAAUGGACAUUUCAGAAUCAUUCUGUGGAUAUUGAUGUAGAAGUAUAUCUAUGUGGGUGAUUAGUAGAGCCUUUCACCUCCUGUGAAUGUUGCUUAUGUGCUGAUAAACAAUGUGUGCAUAUUGGUUCUCUAGUCUGAAUAACAGUGUGAUUGA